GCUUUCGUGAGCUACAUGCAUCCGAUGAAGUGAGCUGUCGCUCACGAAAGCUUAUGCUCAAAUAAAUUGGUUAGUUUCUAAGGUGCCACAAGUACUCCUUUUCUUAUAACCUGGCUGUACACUCUUGAAGUUCAUGAAAGUGCACAUAAGACAGUAAAGUUUUCACUUGUGAUUAUCUUGUGCAGAGUGCAAAUCAGCACUCUGCGUGGGACUGCCAUGCAACUUCAGUUAUUUCAUUUAAAUGUUUGUUUUCAGCAGGAAUGAGCUACUGUCUUAAGCAUUUCAACAAAGACAUUAUUGGAUUCUCAGUAAAUUGAUAAGCAUGGUGAUGGUUGAUGUUCUUGGACUGCCUGCAGUCUUUAAAAGACUGAUUGUUAAUUAUUUCUGUAUGAUAGUAUAUUUAAAUCAAGUUAUAAAUUGAGAGUAAGCUAAACAAUUUAAAUGAAUUUUGGCUUUACUUGUUUUCACGGCAGUCUUGUCUACGAAAAAAAUAGAAAUGUGUUUAACUGGUGCUGAACAGCCUAGAUGUUAACUGUUGCUAUAGGUAGGAAAGAUUUAUUGCUAAUUUUCUAGGAUCUCUCCUACUUUGAAAAUAUAUUUUUACUGACUGUGAACAGACUGCAGUUAGAGAAAUGCACUAUAUAUGGUUAGGAUUCAAUGAAAAUUUGCUAAAAAUGAAAGUAUGGUCAGAAGCUGUGUUGCUAUUGUUUUACAAAUAAAUGAUUAACAAAUUAUCUCUGUGUGGCUUGACAAAUGUUUAACCAUAGACAACCAAUGUUAGCAAUUGUUAGCAUUAUUAGUAAGGAAUUUGAACCUUAAUAUGAAAACCUCAGUUAACCUGAUAAAUCUUAAUUUGUAGGAAAAGGAACAGUGUUUCACCAUGAGGUGAGACAAUGGUUAGAUGCAUCAUUUCAUGGGUUUAGGAUUAAAAGACACUAAGAAGCUUUCGGACUGCAUACUGCAUCAAAUUUACACUGCUGCGUCAGUGAGCACUAAAAGCCAAAAAGUCUUAGUAGAUUUAGCAGAUUUAAGCUUGGAUGCAUUUCACUGAUUACUUCCUGCUAAUGAAAUUUUAAUUUAAUCAUUUAAACCUUUAAUAUGUUUUUCUCAUUUGUUAAAAAGUUUGUAUCUCUCAAGAAAGCGAUAGAGAAGCAUGAACACGUAGUGUACGCUUACGAAAAUUAUUCAUAGAAAUACAGAUAAUUUGCUAAGGACUGUGUUUAUUCGUACACACUAUUGAAGUCAGUGGGAGUUCUGUUAGAGUAAGGGCUCCAGGAUUUAGACUUAUAUUCACAUAAUAAAUUCCAAUCAGUCUGUCACUCCUCAAUUUAAUCCCCAUGGAAUUACCAGAGUUUUAAUAUUAAGAUAUUAUGGAGACAAGUAAAUCAGCUUGCUGAUUUAGUCGACCUUGUUUGUCAGAUAUGUAACUGUACUUUCAAGUUGUUUGUGAGCCUGAAUAGUAUAGAGAACAAUGAUUUUUGUUUCCGAGAUUAGUAAAAUAGAUGGGUGCUGUCCAUAGUCUUCCUCUCAGCCACACCCACUGAUUCUGGCAGUGGAGCUUCCAUUUGUCUUCCUGCUUUAGGAGACAAAAUCAAACGUCUUGGCUAUUAACACAGGUUUAAUUAUUUUUUUUUUAUUCUAUUCGAGUUCUUGUGCCACACCCAUCCCUGUGAUACUUGAGUUCCUCCCACUGAAGAGCCUGCUAGUUUUCUCUGCCUCCAGAGCUGCAAUGGAGGUGCACUCACUUCUACAGAGCGUGACACCUAAACUCAGUGUUUGUGGGGGCUGUUAUGCCUCCAUUAGGUAAAUUCACAUUUCAAUAGGAUAAUAAAACACUUUUUUUUUUUCUUUCACAUUGAUACAAAAUUGCAGCAGAUUCUUUCUCAUUAAGGACUUGUAAUGUGCUGCUGCAACUUUCCAGGGGCGCACGGCAUUGUGUCCAAAGGGUACGAUUAGCUCAGGAGCAGAAAGCGUCUUUUUUGGUUCUCCAUACUCUUCGAGUGCAUUGAUGGGGAGUUGUGUUUGUCUGGCUCCCAAAGGAAGGCUCAGCUUCAGGAGAUGGAUUCCCUGCUACAAAGGUGCUGAAUCAGGUCCAUCUCCUCCUCAGUCAGCCACAAACUCUAGAACAGUAAACUGAUAACAAGAGUAAGUGCCCACCCAAUUUCCACCUUAAUAUGAAGCAGGACCCAGUACAUUGUGCCAUUUCUGACCAAGACCAAUUCAGCCCAGACUGAGAUACCUGAAUUAUUCAGGAUGGCUAUAGGGUUCACCCCAGCUGCUGCAACUAAGCAUGACCCUGACUGUGGCCGCCUCCUCCCUCUUCUUGGGAGCAGAGGGACUUGGUUGUUGGAUGCCCCUUCAGACCCCCGAACCAGUGGAGACACUUCAGAGUUAUGCUGGUCCACACUGAAGAAGGCUCUGCCGAAGUAUGAGGUAUUAGCAUAAGUAAUUCAAAUGAACCCAGUUUUGUCAAAAUAAGAGUUUGGUGCCUUUUGUGAUUCAGUAUCCUUGAUUUUUUUUUCUUUUAAAACAAUUUAGUCAUAUUUUUUCCUAGUAGUUCACAAGAUUUGGUAACCUGCAGUGUGACCUCCCAGUCUUUGGCUCAACUUCAGACAGGGGUGCUACUGUACAUCUUUACCAUUUUUUCGGAUAAGCCUGCAAAAUGAUAUAUAACUCAACCAACGGAUUCAGGAUGGAGCCAAACUUUUUUCUUCUAGGCAAUCUUCAUUUACAUUUCUGCCAGAUGUUUGAGAAUUGGCCGGAAAAGCCAUAAGGCUAAAAUUUGCUGCAGAAAAAUUUAUGCAGCUCAAGUUUUACCAUCCUAACUUCUUAUACAUGAAGAUUAGGUCAGUCUUCAGAAUGAUUGAGAGAAAAUAUAAACAAACAAAAUCCCCAGUUGGAACACUAGAAGCUGCUGAAGGGACUAGAUGGAUGUUGCCUUAAUAUGCCAGUUUAAACCUUAUCAUUCAAUAUGUUUUAAUAAAAUGUUGUGCAGACAAUCGUAUCCUGCUCUCUGUU
Long non-coding RNA from Chelonia mydas (Green sea turtle), 3018 nucleotides. RefSeq lists it as uncharacterized. Lineage: Eukaryota; Metazoa; Chordata; Testudines; Cheloniidae. The transcript is spliced from 2 exons. The record is from RefSeq and is a predicted model, not a curated record.